Molecule: ribosomal RNA, 453 nt
Filed under: uncultured Paraprevotella sp.
Lineage: Bacteria; Pseudomonadati; Bacteroidota; Bacteroidia; Bacteroidales; Prevotellaceae
Description: partial 16S ribosomal RNA
Rfam family: Bacterial small subunit ribosomal RNA
Source: RNAcentral
ACGGGAGGCAGCAGUGAGGAAUAUUGGUCAAUGGGCGGGAGCCUGAACCAGCCAAGUAGCGUGAGGGAUGACUGCCCUAUGGGUUGUAAACCUCUUUUGUUUGGGAAUAAAGUGGGCUACGCGUAGCCCUUUGCAUGUACCAUUCGAAUAAGCAUCGGCUAAUUCCGUGCCAGCAGCCGCGGUAAUACGGAAGAUGCGAGCGUUAUCCGGAUUUAUUGGGUUUAAAGGGAGCGUAGGCGGACUGUUAAGUCUGCGGUCAAAUGUCAGGGCCCAACCUUGGCAUGCCGUGGAAACUGGCGGUCUUGAAUACACUCAAGGUAAGUGGAAUUCGUCGUGUAGCGGUGAAAUGCUUAGAUAUGACGAAGAACUCCGAUUGCGAAGGCAGCUUACUGGGGUGCGAUUGACGCUGAGGCUCGAAAGUGCGGGAAUCAAACAGGAUUAGAUACCCUGGUA